This 253-nucleotide ribosomal RNA is filed under the name uncultured bacterium. Its description in RNAcentral is "partial 16S ribosomal RNA". It matches the Rfam family "Bacterial small subunit ribosomal RNA", at positions 524 to 776 of the family's 1533-position model. The record is from RNAcentral.
GACAGAGGCCUCGAGCGUUAGGCGGAAUCACUGGGCUUAAAGCGUGUGUAGGCGGAUCGUUAAGUGCCUUGUGAAAUCCCACGGCUUAACUGUGGAACGGCUGGGCAUACUGGCGGUCUUGAGCCAUCUAGGGGCGACUGGAACAAACGGUGGAGCGGUGAAAUGCGUAGAUAUCGUUUGGAACGCCAAUGGUGAAAACAGGUCGCUGGGGAUGAGCUGACGCUGAGACACGAAAGCCAGGGGAGCAAACGGG